GCAUGGCUGGAUACUGUGUUCUUUUAAUCAAUAUUUUAUACAAUGCACUGCAAAAAUAAAAGUUUCCCUUGAAAUGUUUCUGAUGGCAUGCUGCUAUUUCAUGGCACAUUAUUAUUAAAAGUGGCCAUUUCU
This is a small nucleolar RNA of Suncus etruscus (white-toothed pygmy shrew), 132 nucleotides long. RefSeq annotates it as small nucleolar RNA SNORA15. Lineage: Eukaryota; Metazoa; Chordata; Mammalia; Eulipotyphla; Soricidae. The record is from RefSeq and is a predicted model, not a curated record. The transcript has a single exon.